This 465-nucleotide ribosomal RNA is filed under the name uncultured Klebsiella sp. RNAcentral describes it as "bacterial SSU rRNA". It matches the Rfam family "Bacterial small subunit ribosomal RNA", at positions 338 to 795 of the family's 1533-position model. The record is from RNAcentral. Lineage: Bacteria; Pseudomonadati; Pseudomonadota; Gammaproteobacteria; Enterobacterales; Enterobacteriaceae.
CCUACGGGAGGCUGCAGUGGGGAAUAUUGCACAAUGGGCGCAAGCCUGAUGCAGCCAUGCCGCGUGUGUGAAGAAGGCCUUCGGGUUGUAAAGCACUUUCAGCGGGGAGGAAGGCGUUAAGGUUAAUAACCUUGUCGAUUGACGUUACCCGCAGAAGAAGCACCGGCUAACUCCGCGCCAGCAGCCGCGGUAAUACGGAGGGUGCAAGCGUUAAUCGGAAUUACUGGGCGUAAAGCGCACGCAGGCGGUCUGUCAAGUCGGAUGUGAAAUCCCCGGGCUCAACCUGGGAACUGCAUUCGAAACUGGCAGGCUAGAGUCUUGUAGAGGGGGGUAGAAUUCCAGGUGUAGCGGUGAAAUGCGUAGAGAUCUGGAGGAAUACCGGUGGCGAAGGCGGCCCCCUGGACAAAGACUGACGCUCAGGUGCGAAAGCGUGGGGAGCAAACAGGAUUAGAUACCCCAGUAGUC